AGGGGAGUAGCUCAAUUGGUAGAGCAACGGUCUCCAAAACCGUAGGCUGCGGGUUCAAGUCCUGUCUCCCCUGCCA
RNAcentral lists this transfer RNA (76 nucleotides) under Bacillota bacterium. RNAcentral describes it as "Firmicutes bacterium (anaerobic digester metagenome) tRNA-Trp". It matches the Rfam family "tRNA". From Rfam's summary of the family: Transfer RNA (tRNA) molecules are approximately 80 nucleotides in length. Their secondary structure includes four short double-helical elements and three loops (D, anti-codon, and T loops). Lineage: Bacteria; Bacillati; Bacillota. The record is from RNAcentral.